RNAcentral lists this ribosomal RNA (400 nucleotides) under uncultured bacterium. RNAcentral describes it as "bacterial SSU rRNA". It matches the Rfam family "Bacterial small subunit ribosomal RNA", at positions 356 to 773 of the family's 1533-position model. The record is from RNAcentral.
GGGGAAUAUUGGACAAUGGGGGCAACCCUGAUCCAGCCAUGCCGCGUGAGUGAUGAAGGCCUUCGGGUUGUAAAGCUCUUUUGGUGGGGAAGAUGAUGACUGUACCCACAGAAUAAGCUCCGGCUAACUUCGUGCCAGCAGCCGCGGUAAUACGAAGGGAGCUAGCGUUGUUCGGAAUUACUGGGCGUAAAGGGCGCGUAGGCGAUUUGGCAAGUUGGAUGUGAAAGCCCUGGGCUUAACCCGGGAAUUGCAUUCAAGACUGCCUUAAUUGAAUUCGGUAGAGGUGAGUGGAAUUCCCAGUGUAGAGGUGAAAUUCGUAGAGAUUGGGAAGAACACCCGUGGCGAAGGCGGCUCACUGGACCGAUAUUGACGCUGAGGCGCGAAAGCGUGGGGAGCAAAC